GUGUCAGCCGCCGCGGUAAUACGUAGGUGGCAAGCGUUGUCCGGAAUUACUGGGCGUAAAGGGCGUGUAGGCGGCCUUUUAAGUCAGACGUGAAAUCUCUGGGCUUAACCCAGAAAUUGCGUUUGAAACUGGAGGGCUUGAGGAUCGGAGAGGGCAGUGGAAUUCCCAGUGUAGCGGUGAAAUGCGUAGAUAUUGGGAGGAACACCAGUGGCGAAGGCGACUGCCUGGACGACACCUGACGCUGAGGCGCGAAAGCUAGGGGAGCAAACGGGAUUAGAAACCCCGGUAGUCC
RNAcentral lists this ribosomal RNA (292 nucleotides) under uncultured bacterium. RNAcentral's name for it is "partial 16S ribosomal RNA". It matches the Rfam family "Bacterial small subunit ribosomal RNA", at positions 505 to 796 of the family's 1533-position model. The record is from RNAcentral.